This 459-nucleotide ribosomal RNA is filed under the name uncultured bacterium. Its description in RNAcentral is "partial 16S ribosomal RNA". It matches the Rfam family "Bacterial small subunit ribosomal RNA", at positions 338 to 795 of the family's 1533-position model. The record is from RNAcentral.
CCUACGGGGGGCAGCAGUGAGGAAUAUUGGUCAAUGGCCGGAAGGCUGAACCAGCCAAGCCGCGUGAAGGACGAAGGUGCCAAGCAUUGUAAACUUCUUUUGUCAAGGGACAAAAUCAGGCUCGAGAGCCUGACCGAGGGUACUUGAAGAAAAAGCAUCGGCUAACUCCGUGCCAGCAGCCGCGGUAAUACGGAGGAUGCGAGCGUUAUCCGGAUUUAUUGGGUUUAAAGGGUGCGUAGGCGGGCUGUUAAGUCAGCGGUAAAAGCCCGGGGCUCAACCCCGGCGAGCCGUUGAAACUGGGUGGCUUGAGAUGUCGAGAGGUAUGCGGAAUGCGCAGUGUAGCGGUGAAAUGCUUAGAUAUUGCGCAGAACUCCGAUUGCGAAGGCAGCAUACCGGCGGCGAUCUGACGCUGAGGCACGAAAGCGUGGGUAUCGAACAGGAUUAGAUACCCCAGUAGUC